RNAcentral lists this ribosomal RNA (445 nucleotides) under uncultured cyanobacterium. RNAcentral describes it as "bacterial SSU rRNA". It matches the Rfam family "Bacterial small subunit ribosomal RNA", at positions 8 to 496 of the family's 1533-position model. The record is from RNAcentral. Lineage: Bacteria; Bacillati; Cyanobacteriota.
AGAGUUUGAUCAUGGCUCAGGAUGAACGCUGGCGGUAUGCCUAACACAUGCAAGUCGAACGGGUAUCUUCGGAUAUUAGUGGCGGACGGGUGAGUAACGCGUGAGAAUCUGCCUUCAGGAUGGGGACAACAGUUGGAAACGACUGCUAAUACCCGAUAUGACGAAAGUUGAAAGAUUUAUCGCCUGGAGAUGAGCUCGCGUCAGAUUAGCUAGAUGGUGUGGUAAAGGCGCACCAUGGCGACGAUCUGUAGCUGGUCUGAGAGGAUGAGCAGCCACACUGGGACUGAGACACGGCCCAGACUCCUACGGGAGGCAGCAGUGGGGAAUUUUCCGCAAUGGGCGCAAGCCUGACGGAGCAAUACCGCGUGAGGGAGGAAGGCUCUUGGGUCGUAAACCUCUUUUCUCAGGGAAGAACAAAAUGACGGUACCUGAGAAUCAGCUCGAU